AAGCUUAGGAUUAAACCAAACCAAGGGCCUUCAAAGCCCUAAACAGGGGUUAUACUCCCCUAGCUUCU
RNAcentral lists this transfer RNA (68 nucleotides) under Urosaurus nigricauda. RNAcentral describes it as "tRNA-Trp". It matches the Rfam family "tRNA". Rfam says of the family: Transfer RNA (tRNA) molecules are approximately 80 nucleotides in length. Their secondary structure includes four short double-helical elements and three loops (D, anti-codon, and T loops). The record is from RNAcentral. Lineage: Eukaryota; Metazoa; Chordata; Lepidosauria; Squamata; Phrynosomatidae.